AAACGAAAGAGGCCAAGUAGCGCUCCGCCCUGACACGCCGGCUCCGGUGGGCUCCAGCCGGCUACGCCGCGGCGGACAACGAUGCUGAAGGCCAAGAUCCUCUUCGUGGGGCCUUGCGAGGUUCGAGUCCUGCUGGCCAGCCCUGAUGAAGGAUGCUCAUGGAGUGGUGAUCGUCUUCAAUGCUGACAUCCCAAGCCACAGGAAGGAAAUGGAGAUGUGGUAUUCCUGCUUUGUCCAACAGCCGUCCUUACAGGACACACAGUGUAUGCUAAUUGCACACCACAAACCAGGCUCUGGAGAUGAUAAAGGAAGCCUGUCUUUGUGUAAGGAAACUGGAAUUUCUCUUCCUGUUUUGUCUUGAAUGUUUUGGACACCUACAUAUUGUCCUAUGUCCUAGAAACCAGCAGCUCUGUCCAGUUACUGAGCACCUACUGUACCCUAGACAAUUGUUGCCCUCUCCAUGUGAGUCCACUCUGUCUCUACUAAAAAUACAAAAAUUAGCCAGGCAUGAUGGCAGGCACCUGUACUCCCAGCUACUCAGGGGACUAAGGCAGGAGAAUUGCUUGAGCCCAGGAGGCGGAGAAUGCAGUGAGUUGAGAUCUCACCACUACACUCCAGCUUGUGUGAGAGGGCGAGACACCAUCUCAAAAAAAAGAAAAAGAAAGAGGCCGGGCGCGGUGGCUCACGCCUGUAAUCCCAACACUUUGGGAGGCCAGGGUGGGCGGAUCACUUGAGGUCAGGAGUUCUAGACCAACCUGGCCAACACGGUGAAACCCCAUCUCUACUAAAAAUACAAAAAUUAGCCAGGGGUGGUAAUGCAUACCUGUAAUCCCAGCUACUCAGGAGGCUGAGGCAGGAGAAUCACUUGUACCUGGGAGGUAGAGGUUGCAGUGAGCUGAGAUUGUGCCGUUGCACUCCAGCCUGGACAACAAGAGUGAAACUCUAUUUCAAAAAAAAAAAAGAGUAGAAUACAGAGUGGGAAAAUCCUUGUAGCUAUUCUUGGGUACAACUAGGGGGGCACUCUUUCUGAAAGAACUUUUCUGGAAAAAAACCUCCAAUUCACAUAACACACAUCCCAGAGGUGACACAGUCAUCCUGAAAAAGAACUCACAAAAUAUUCAGAAACAAAAUGAGAAUAAUAGAGAAUCUAUUCCUUUCUGGUUUA
Molecule: small RNA, 1165 nt
Filed under: Pongo abelii (Sumatran orangutan)
Lineage: Eukaryota; Metazoa; Chordata; Mammalia; Primates; Hominidae
Description: retained intron
Source: RNAcentral